Molecule: ribosomal RNA, 25 nt
Filed under: Justicia comata
Lineage: Eukaryota; Viridiplantae; Streptophyta; Magnoliopsida; Lamiales; Acanthaceae
Description: partial 18S ribosomal RNA
Source: RNAcentral
AGGUGAACUGCGGAAGGAUCAUUGU